AAGUUUUCGGACAGAAAGGUGACUGAGCGGCGGACGGGUGAGUAACGCGUGGGUAAUCUGCCUCAUACAGGGGAAUAACAGCUAGAAAUGGCUGCUAAUGCCGCAUAAGCGCACAGGACCGCAUGGUCUGGUGUGAAAAACUCCGGUGGUAUGAGAUGAACCCGCGUCUGAUUAGUUAGUUGGCAGGGUAACGGCCUACCAAGACGACGAUCAGUAGCCGGCCUGAGAGGGUGGACGGCCACAUUGGGACUGAGACACGGCCCAGACUCC
Molecule: ribosomal RNA, 270 nt
Filed under: uncultured Eubacteriales bacterium
Lineage: Bacteria; Bacillati; Bacillota; Clostridia; Eubacteriales
Description: uncultured Clostridiales bacterium partial 16S ribosomal RNA
Rfam family: Bacterial small subunit ribosomal RNA
Source: RNAcentral